This 494-nucleotide ribosomal RNA is filed under the name uncultured bacterium. Its description in RNAcentral is "bacterial SSU rRNA". It matches the Rfam family "Bacterial small subunit ribosomal RNA", at positions 1 to 488 of the family's 1533-position model. The record is from RNAcentral.
GAUUAGAGUUUGAUCCUGGCUCAGAUUGAACGCUGGCGGCAUGUCUUACACAUGCAAGUCGAACGGCAGCAUGGAGGAGCUUGCUCCUCUGAUGGCGAGUGGCGAACGGGUGAGUAAAGCAUCGGAACGUACCGUGUAGUGGGGGAUAACGUAGCGAAAGUUACGCUAAUACCGCAUACGCACUGAGGUGGAAAGCAGGGGAUCGCAAGACCUGCGCUAUACGAGCGGCCGAUGUCAGAUUAGCUAGUUGGUAGGGUAAAGGCCUACCAAGGCGACGAUCUGUAGCGGGUCUGAGAGGAUGAUCCGCCACACUGGGACUGAGACACGGCCCAGACUCCUACGGGAGGCAGCAGUGGGGAAUUUUGGACAAUGGGGGAAACCCUGAUCCAGCCAUGCCGCGUGAGUGAAGAAGGCCUUCGGGUUGUAAAGCACUUUCGGCUGGGAAGAAAUCGCACAGGCUAAUACUCUGUGUGGAUGACGGUACCAGCAUAGAG